This 3253-nucleotide long non-coding RNA is filed under the name Homo sapiens (human). RNAcentral describes it as "HSALNT0061105". The record is from RNAcentral. Lineage: Eukaryota; Metazoa; Chordata; Mammalia; Primates; Hominidae.
CCAGAACUUGGGUUUUGUUAGGUAAGCCAGGACCAGAAGCGUUUGAGGAAUCGUAGUGCCGCCCAUGCCGCCCCAGGAGAUGGGUUUGUCGGGGCAGUGUGCGUGUGCCGGCAUCCCUAUCCGGCGGAGGGAGGGAGGGAAGGAGGCCCGGGGCCCGGCGCCGUCGGUCUCCCAGCCGUACCCGCCACUCCACCUCCAGCCCCGCGGAGCCCUCCCCCUACCGCAGUCCAGGCCUCGGCCGAAAGCAACUGGGCCCGCCGUUUCUGUCACUGCGGUAUUUGCCCAUCUACGUUUUGCGUCCGGCGUUCGUUCUCUGAAUCAACAGGCGGGUGGAAGAAAUGCCUUCUGAUUCCAACCCGAGUGUCUGUUUGGAUCGUCAUUCCCUGCAUCAUCAGACGGGGAACUUCCGGGGACCGGCCCGUCUUGGCCAUCUGUGGGGCGCCCAACAAGGGCAAGCGACCGGCGAAUAAAAGGAAAGAUGAAGAGGAAGCCCCGAGGUGCCUGAGAGUCAAUGGUGAAGCCCAUGGUUUCUAACCCUUUAAUGAUCAGAGCAGGUGGAGCUCCGAAUCUCUUAAGUUCGGAUAGUAAAUCGUCUUGCGGAUAGCAUAUAUUUCAGACGGCCACAUGAAAGGGCUCACAUCAAUUACUGGAAUGUGAUUUUGGAGUUGACAAAUGUACCAGAGUGAUUUGGAAUGACUCUACUGUUUCAACAGCUUUAUCGAAAGGCUGGAGCCGAUGGAUAGCAAUCAAAAUAUUCUCUUUCCUUUUCUCUCUCUCCCUCCCUCCCCCCUCCCCACCCCGCCCCGGUCUCCCGUUCUCGUUCUGACUCUUGCUCUGUCACUCUCUUUUUCUCUCUCUGGCUUUAUCCUCUCUCUUGGAUAAAAUUACUUACUGCAAUGAGUUUUUUCAACAAUACGUGAGUUCCUGGUGGUCAGAAUACCUGGACCCUUCUCUAUUGUUCUUGGCUUUCCAGGACUCAGCCAAAACAGAGGCUUAAAGUCCCCCAACUUAACAUUCUCCCAGUGUAGCCUGGGAAAUCAACGGAAGAAAUGCUGCUCGCUGGAGUUCCUUCUUGAGAGUUGCAUGUACACAGUCCUAGUAAAGGCUCUGAGAAGUCCUUCAGACAAAAAGUUAUUAAAUUCUAUUUAACCCAGUGUUUCCCAGAUUAUUUGACCACAGAAUUCUUUCCUCAAAAUAUUUCUCUAUUGGUUAACCCAGGUCUGCUGAAGCAAAAGAGAGUGUAGGCUAGGGAUACUGGGAAUUCUCCUGGAAGCUGAGGCAGAAUGUGUCUGGCUCUCAGGAUGGAUGGACCAGGAAACUAACUGCCAGAACUGCGCUCCUCAUCCUUGUGGCCCUCCCUGCUGACCUGCCUGUCUGGUUGAAGUGCAGAACACAGCACUUUCCCCCCAACAUCCAGAGAUGGAGGACACAGGUCUCACCAAUCCAGAGAGACUGCCUUGACCCUUAUCCUGUCCCAAUUCCAAACCCCUUGGAGACAGGAUCCUGCUGAAUCUGUCAUCCCCUUCAUCCUUCACACACAGCAAGUCCACACCUCAACCUGGGCUAGUUUGGGAGGGGGUGUGGAAGGUAGUGAGUUUGUGGGGGGAUUACUAGAGAAAGGAAGGUUGUUGGUUUGUGAACUGGAUGGACACCCACUGAGACAGAUGCCCAGCCUGAGACGACCUGUGGGACAUUGCCAUCCCCAGCUGCAUCGCCUUUCUUUCCUUGAACACAUCAAGCUCAUUUAUGCUGCAAGGCUUUUGUACUUGCUGUUCUCUCUACCUGGAAUGUUCCUCUUCUAAAACUUCUCCAAAGUACGUUAGGGUGAUGGGAUUAUGAUUUCACCCCCCUCCUUUUUAAAGUUAUUUUAUUUUUUAUUUUAUUUUAUUUAUUUUUUGAGAUGGAGUCUCACUCUGUUGCCCCAUCUGGAGUGCAGUAAGGCAAUCUCAGCUCACCGCAACCUCGGCCUCCCAGAUUCAAGCGAUUCUCCUGCCUUAGCCUCCUGAGUAGCUAGGAUUAUAGACACUUGCCACCAUGUCCAGAUAAUUUUUGUAUUUUUGGUAAAGAUGGAGUUUUGCCAUGUUGGCCAGGCUGGUCUCGAACCCCUGACCUCAAUCCACCCACCUCAGCCGCCCAAAGUGCUGAGAUUACAGGCGUGAGCCACUGUGCCUGCCCCCCCCCACUUUUAAAACCUUAUUUGUCAUUAAAUUACUCUCACAAAUUAAAUAUAUGAGAACAUUGAGAAUAUGGCAUUGAAAACUCUAUACCCUACCUGGGAUGGAAUCUGUGCCUAGAACACUGGAGACUUUAUUUCCCUUGACCUGGACAUCUAGUUACUACUACCAGCAAAAAAAUAUUUUAUAGAUGGUUUGAUCACAGCAAAACCUGGGGAGAAUAAUGCCUUCCACAGCCUUUGCCUGAACACAUUUGAGAGUGUAUCCUAUUACAUACCAACUAUUGAAAGAACAGUAGCUCAAAUAAAUAUUCGUUGGUCACUAGUGUGGACUGAAUUGUGUCUAUGUUGAAGUCCUAACCCUUGGUACCUAUGAAUGUAAUCUUAUUUCAAAUAGAGUCUCUGCAGAUGUAACCAAGUUAAGGUGAGAUCAUACUCAAUUAGGGUGGGCCCUAAGUCCAAUGACUGGUGUCCUUAUAAGAAAAGAGAGAUUCAGAGAUAGCGACACAGAGGAGACACAGGAAGGGAAGGCCAUGUGAAGACACACGUAGAAACCAGAGUGGUACAACUACAGGGGAGGAAUGUCAAGGAUUCCUGGCACCCACCAGGAGCUGGAAAGAAGCAAGGAAGGAUUUUUCCCUAGCGCCUUGGGAGAGAGCUCAGCCCUGCUGGCCUCCAGAACUGUGGGAGAAUACAUUCCUGUUGUUUUAAGCCAUCCAGUUUGCGGCACUUCGUUACUGCAGCCCUAGGAAAUGAAUACAGCCUUCUACUGAGUGCCAGGCACUGUUCCAGGCAUAAGAGAUUCAGGGUGAACAGAACCGACAGGCUCACUGCUCUCAUGCAGCUGACAUUCUAGUGUAGAAAGACAGACACCAAAAUUUAAACAAAGUACAAGAAAACAGCAGGUAAGGAAAAGUGCUCUGCAGAUAGUGCAGUGAGUAGGCUGAGAGAGAGUGACUGGCAUGGUGGGCAGGGCUGUUUUAGCCAGAUUGAUUUGGAAAGUUAGGUUGAGACCUAAAUUAAAAAGAAGACUGAAAAUGUACAUACAAUUUUAUUAUUAUUAUUUGAGAUGGAGUCUCA